Molecule: ribosomal RNA, 449 nt
Filed under: uncultured bacterium
Lineage: Bacteria
Description: partial 16S ribosomal RNA
Rfam family: Bacterial small subunit ribosomal RNA
Source: RNAcentral
AACGAACGCUGGCGGCAGGCUUAACACAUGCAAGUCGAACGAGAUCUUCGGAUCUAGUGGCAGACGGGUGGGGAACACGUGGGAACAUCCCUUUCAGUUCGGAAUAACGUUGGGAAACUAACGCUAAUACCGGAUACGUCCUUCGGGAGAAAGAUUUAUCGCUGAAAGAUUGGCCCGCGUCUGAUUAGCUAGUUGGUGAGGUAAUAGCGCACCAAGGCUAGGAUCAGUAGAUGAUCUGAGAGGAUGAUCAGCCACAUUGGGACUGAGACACGGCCCAAACUCCUACGGGAGGCAGCAGUGGGGAAUAUUGGACAAUGGGCGCAAGCAUGAUCCAGCCAUGCCGCGUGAGUGAUGACGGCCGUCGGGUUGUAAAGCUCUUUUGUCCGGGAAGAUAAUGACUGUACCGGAAGAAUAAGCCCCGGCAAACUUCGUGCCAGCCGCCGCCGUAA